UACAGAGGGUGCGAGCGUUGUUCGGAAUUAUUGGGCGUAAAGCGCUUGUAGGCGGCAUGUCAAGUCGCGUGUGAAAUCCCCAGGCUUAACCUGGGAAGUGCGCGCGAAACUGACGAGCUUGAGUGCCGGAGAGGGUCGCGGAAUUCCCGGUGUAGAGGUGAAAUUCGUAGAUAUCGGGAGGAACACCAGUGGCGAAGGCGGCGACCUGGACGGACACUGACGCUGAGGAGCGAAAGCGUGGGGAGCGAACAGG
This 253-nucleotide ribosomal RNA is filed under the name uncultured bacterium. Its description in RNAcentral is "partial 16S ribosomal RNA". It matches the Rfam family "Bacterial small subunit ribosomal RNA", at positions 524 to 776 of the family's 1533-position model. The record is from RNAcentral.